UACGAAGGGGGCUAGCGUUGCUCGGAAUUACUGGGCGUAAAGGGAGCGUAGGCGGACAUUUAAGUCAGGGGUGAAAUCCCAGAGCUCAACUCUGGAACUGCCUUUGAUACUGUCGGUCUAGAGUAUGGAAGAGGUGAGUGGAAUUCCGAGUGUAGAGGUGAAAUUCGUAGAUAUUCGGAGGAACACCAGUGGCUAAGGCGGCUCACUGGUCCAUUACUGACGCUGAGGUGCGAAAGCGUGGGGAGCAAACAGG
This 253-nucleotide ribosomal RNA is filed under the name uncultured bacterium. RNAcentral describes it as "partial 16S ribosomal RNA". It matches the Rfam family "Bacterial small subunit ribosomal RNA", at positions 524 to 776 of the family's 1533-position model. The record is from RNAcentral.